This 253-nucleotide ribosomal RNA is filed under the name uncultured bacterium. Its description in RNAcentral is "partial 16S ribosomal RNA". It matches the Rfam family "Bacterial small subunit ribosomal RNA", at positions 524 to 776 of the family's 1533-position model. The record is from RNAcentral.
UACGGAGGGGGUUAGCGUUGUUCGGAAUUACUGGGCGUAAAGCGCGCGUAGGUGGUUUCGUCAGUCAGAUGUGAAAGCCCGGGGCUCAACCUCGGAACUGCAUUCGAUACUCCCGCGCUAGAGUCAUGGAGAGGUGAGUGGAAUUCCCGGUGUAGCAGUGAAAUGCGUGGAUAUCGGGAGGAACAUCAAUGGCGAAGGCAACUCACUGGACAUGUACUGACGCUCAGACACGAAGGCCAGGGGAGCGAAAGGG